AGGGACUAAGUUUAAUGAGAUUAGCCCUCACUCGCUCCGACUAUUUCCUUCGCUCGGAGUUCUUAGCGAGGACGCCCAAAUACCACUGGAUUGCUAAGCCCGUCGUCGAGAAAGAAUCGUCGUUCGUCCUCGUCUGCUCGCUCAUCUUCCUGCUCUGGCAUCCUCGUACUGCUCGCCCUCAUCUCCUGCUCUGGCAUCCUCGUACUGCUCGCCCUCAUCUCCUGCUCGUCAUCAUCUACUCUUGGUCUGUUCUUGGUUUUCUUGCAUGAUAUUUGUCUGGGAAGAUCAAAGUGUUUGAUCACAGAGGCUAUUCUGCAAAGCUCUGUAUUGUAUUUCUUCCAUCACUAUGUGCUGCUGUCGUGGGAAUCUCUCGUGUGAUGAUUACUGAAUCAUUGGCAGGACGUCUUCGGCGGAGGUCUUAUAGGAAUUGUCACAUCUUCAAUUUGUUACUAGUAGUCCUUACCUCUCCUAAACCAGCUGGAUGGGUGGGCACCUCAAGUGUAUUUCCCCAUGUUGGGUGCAUAGAGGAAUGUUGGCGUGUCCUCAUCUUCGGCCACGAGGUUAAGCUCUCUUUGUAUUUGAUAUGCGAAGAACAGAUAUUGAGAGUCCAGACUCGAGUGCACCAGUCCACUAGUUACUGGAAGAAGGGAGAAGCUCUUGAGUUGAGUUUGUAUGCCGAAUAGAAAUCAUAUAGAAUGUAUAUAUACAUUUUGUAUACACAACGUUGUACUUCAUUCGAUGACUCCAUAUCAUGUGUAGCUCCUAACAUCAUUAUUUAUUAAAUGAAAAUUUUAUAAUUUUAUAUAAUAAAAAAUGUAUGAUUUUUGUUCUCAA
This is a long non-coding RNA of Malus domestica (apple), 834 nucleotides long. RefSeq lists it as uncharacterized. NCBI's taxonomy places the organism in Eukaryota, Viridiplantae, Streptophyta, Magnoliopsida, Rosales, Rosaceae. The record is from RefSeq and is a predicted model, not a curated record.